Molecule: ribosomal RNA, 449 nt
Filed under: uncultured bacterium
Lineage: Bacteria
Description: bacterial SSU rRNA
Rfam family: Bacterial small subunit ribosomal RNA
Source: RNAcentral
UGAGGAAUAUUGCACAAUGGGCGAAAGCCUGAUGCAGCGACGCCGCGUGGAGGAUGAAGGUUUUCGGAUUGUAAACUCCUGUUAAGCGCGAAAAAAGGCUCAUUUUUAAUAGAAAUGAGAGAUGAUUGUAGCGCUAAAGAAAGCACCGGCUAACUUCGUGCCAGCAGCCGCGGUAAUACGAGGGGUGCAAACGUUAUUCGGAAUCACUGGGCGUAAAGGGUGCGUAGACGGCAAAAUAAGUCAAUUAUUAAAUCUCCUAGCUUAACUAGGAAUGUGUGAUUGAAACUGAUUUGCUUGAGGAUGGAAGAGAGAAGUGGAAUUCUCGGAGUAGCGGUAAAAUGCGUAGAUCUCGAGAGGAACACCGAUGGCGAAGGCAGCUUCUUGGUCCAUAUCUGACGUUGAGGCACGAAAGCGUGGGGAGCAAACAGGAUUAGAUACCCCUGUAGUCC